Molecule: ribosomal RNA, 460 nt
Filed under: uncultured bacterium
Lineage: Bacteria
Description: partial 16S ribosomal RNA
Rfam family: Bacterial small subunit ribosomal RNA
Source: RNAcentral
CCUACGGGAGGCAGCAGUGAGGAAUAUUGGUCAAUGGCCGGAAGGCUGAACCAGCCAUGCCGCGUGAAGGGCAGGGCCCUACGGGCGUUAAACUUCUUUUGUGCGGGAGCAAUAAUGGUCACGUGUGGCCAGACGAGAGUACCGUACGAAUAAGCAUCGGCUAACUCCGUGCCAGCAGCCGCGGUAAUACGGGGGAUGCAAGCGUUAUCCGGAUUGAUUGGGGUUAAAGGGUGCGUAGGCUGGUAGGUAAGUCAGCGGUGAAAUGCCCCCGCUCAACGGGGUGAAGUGCCAUUGAUACUGCCGUGCUGGAGUGCGGGUGCCGUGGGAGGAAUGUGUGGUGUAGCGGUGAAAUGCAUAGAUAUCACACAGAACACCGAGUGCGAAGGCAUCUCACGAAUCCGCGAUUGACGCUGAUGCACGAAAGCGUGGGUAUCAAACAGGAUUAGAUACCCCAGUAGUC